RNAcentral lists this long non-coding RNA (1477 nucleotides) under Equus caballus (horse). RNAcentral describes it as "lncRNA (ENSECAG00000049039.1)". Lineage: Eukaryota; Metazoa; Chordata; Mammalia; Perissodactyla; Equidae. The record is from RNAcentral.
AUCAAAAAUCUUUUGACUCAUCCAAAGGAUGGUACCUACGUGGAGCUGCUCGAUUCUUCUCAGCAUCAAACACCUUCUGGCUCAUUCAGCUCUCUUGGAGUGGGUGCUACAGGCUGAAUCAUCACCAUUUCCUGUGAGGGUGGCCAACAUGGCUAAUGAUAAUUCCCAGGUUUACGCCUUGGACUUUCUGCCACAGAAGGAGUCCCAUUGUUCUCCCUCCAAGUUCCAAACAUUGAGAAGAGUUGUAAGUGGCCCAGUUGACCUCUGGACCAACUGAUGACAGGAUCUUGUAAGAUGAUAUUACAAGGGUUCAGAUCUUAUAAGAACUUGACUGCAGUUGACCACAGGUAACUGAAACCACGGAUGAGAGAGGAUGAGUGUAGUAGAUUUGAUCACUCCCAAAAUGCUGAAGUAGAGAGCGGUUGGAAGACAACUAGUCAGCCCUUACGAUGCUACAAGCAUUGCACUAGGAAUUUUGUAGACAUCACCUCAAAGGAGAAGCAAUAAAAACUAUGAUUAACCUGCAACAGCGACAUUUUGCCCAUAAACUCUGUUAGGUUUCAGAGAAUGUCCUUGAGGAUUCCAAGCUAGCAUGCCUUUUUCCAACUGCUGCUUCUCCAAGGGUGGGUUGCACCCUUAACUUCCUGAUCUGAUGUCUGUGAAACAAAGGCGCCGGCAUAGAACAGUGGGAAAGAGACAUGUUCUGAAGCCAGGGGGACCUCAGUUUACCUUCUAUCCCGGCCACUUACUAGUUGAAUGAUCUUAGACAAAUCAGCAACCCAUUUUACCAUCAGUUUUCUUCUCUGUAAAACGUGGCUAAAAUAUAUACAAUAUAGGAUUUGGGGAGAAUUGAAAGAGUGUAUGUCUACAAAAUGUACAUCACGGUGUCUGGCUCAUAAUCAUUCAAUAAAUGUUAGUUUCUUGGUUAUGGAAGUAACAAAUGAAAUAAGGCAAAAUUCUUAUAUUAAGUUCAAUGCUUUGCUCUUUUCCACACUAAAAUCUAAUACCAUUCAGAAUGGAAAAAUUCUCAAAUAAAAUGGAGCACAAGUUUACAUAGAAAAAUAAAAAGGAAAGCACUGAAGUUAUUAGCACCAUACCUGAAACCAAAAUUCUAUUGAAAAAAAAAAAGCAGCUGUUUGUUCUGUCAACUAUUUCUCUUGGAGGAAUCUUCCAGCAGCCUCACCUUGCGAGUUUCCAUUUCAUGCUUCAGUCUGCAGAGGUGCUCACGUAGUUUGUCAUUAAAUUCUGUUAGAGGACAGUGGCAGAAACGCUGAGGAACCUGACACAUCUUUCACCAUUUACAAUUUGCCAGCAGGAUUCAAUUAUUUUAACUCAGGAGAGAUGUUCACUUUACUGUCAGUAGCUGACUGACUUUCUCUUUCAGUAUAUUUCUUCCACAUGCCUCCUUUUCUUCACAGUGUUGGGAAAUUAAGGUGUUUGCGCUUGUAAAAACAUUAUAAUAAGGCAAUUUACAGUA